GACAGAGGGUGCAAACGUUGCUCGGAAUUACUGGGCGUAAAGUGCGUGUAGGCGGACCGGAAAGUCGGGCGUGAAAUCCCUGGGCUCAACCCAGGAACUGCACUCGAAACUUCCGGCCUUGAGUGGUGGAGAGGGUAGUGGAAUUCCUGGUGUAGAGGUGAAAUUCGUAGAUAUCAGGAGGAACACCGGUGGCGAAGGCGGCUACCUGGACACCAACUGACGCUGAGGUGCGAAAGCGUGGGGAGCGAACGGG
This 253-nucleotide ribosomal RNA is filed under the name uncultured bacterium. Its description in RNAcentral is "partial 16S ribosomal RNA". It matches the Rfam family "Bacterial small subunit ribosomal RNA", at positions 524 to 776 of the family's 1533-position model. The record is from RNAcentral.